Molecule: non-coding RNA, 29 nt
Filed under: Mus musculus (house mouse)
Lineage: Eukaryota; Metazoa; Chordata; Mammalia; Rodentia; Muridae
Also listed under: 1 other name
Source: RNAcentral
UCCCAUCUUCUGUGGAACUUGUCCCCUUU